Molecule: long non-coding RNA, 1403 nt
Organism: Magnolia sinica
Lineage: Eukaryota; Viridiplantae; Streptophyta; Magnoliopsida; Magnoliales; Magnoliaceae
Exons: 4
Source: RefSeq, a predicted model, not a curated record
CUUCAUUCUCUUUCUAAGGUUUUCCCUGGGAUUUUCUCACGCGCAUGGAUGCUCCAUUCCUUUGCAUGUAUGCAUGUAUGACAUACAUGCAUUCGGCGCCAUCCUCAACUCCUUCCAUCCUUCUACCCUUCUCCUAUAAUACCCUCCGUCCCUGCCUCCGUCCCUGCCUCCGUCGUUCGUCUGGAAGCAAGAAAAAAAAAACACAGAGAGAGAGAGAGAGGUAGGGAAACGACAGAGAAGGAGAGAAGGAAAUCGACGAAAUCUUCUCGCAUCUAGGGUUGCAGAAACUCUAACCAGUUUUUCUAUCCCUUUUCUCUCUCUUCAAAGCCCUACAUUCUGAAAAUCCCUAGAAUUUCCAUCCUAGGUUUCUUUCACGAGCGCCUUGAUUUGCAUUACUGGGAUUUUCUGGAGAGAAAACGGGGGGUUUCUAGGGUUUAUAGCUGAAAAAGAAUAGAAGCCUCUAAAAUCCCAGUUUUUUCCUGAAAUUUCUAGAAAUCUAUUUCGUUUUCCUGUUUGUAAAGGUGGAUCUGACCAUCGGAGAUCUUCAAGGUGCUUUGUGUUUGUCACUUCAGAGUUUUCUGGAGAGGAAUCGAGAGGUUUUCGGGUUGCUGGCUUCAGUGAUACUGAAUCCUCGGAAUUUGAGUUUUCCCAUCUCCUUUUUGGAGACAUCUACCAUUUUUUUGCUCGGAUCGGAGCUCAAUCAGUGCGGAAGCUUGGAUCUCUGGAGUUUCCAAACCUUUGGCUUGCUCAUUUUCACUGAAUUUUUCUCGUGUCCUAAAGUUAUUCGGCAAAGAAAAUGGACUGGGUGAAUUUCUCAUCAACAUUACAGUGGCCCUACCUAGCUCACAUGGCAAGAAGUUCAUGGUAAAGAUUUCCAAAGAAAAGUCUGGUGGGUUUGUCACUUGUGAGAGCCAUUCCGAAGAAAAGCGUGUUGACAAUAUAGUGGGUAUUGCAUAUGCAAUGGAUAUGCUGGAUUAUGUUGAAAAGGUUGAUAAACUAGAAAGUUCUACUAUGGGAGCAAUUGCGCAUAAGCCUACCUACUUUGUACCUGAUUUAAUGUCCGUGUGGAAUUUGCUGAGAGAGUUCCGCAUAGGAAGGUUCAUAUGGCUAUUGUUCUAAAUGAAUAUGGUGGAACUGUGGGAGUAUGUUUACAUCCUUCACAUUUUCUUUAACAAUGCUCAUGAAGUUCAAAAGUUGUUCAUGUUACUGUUUAUGUGAUUUUGGGUGUUAACUAUUUUAAUAUUGUUGCCUCAUUGAUAUUUUUUAACAUUGAAAAGUAGUGAACAAUUUUAAUAUUGCUUUUUGUAAUAAAACGGGUACCUACUCUGGUUGACUGCCAGAACUUUUACAUGGCGAGAAACAGCCACAACAUCUUGCUUUCCUAGCUUGGUUUUUAGGAGGAC